This is a long non-coding RNA of Schistocerca piceifrons (Central American locust), 371 nucleotides long. RefSeq lists it as uncharacterized. The record is from RefSeq and is a predicted model, not a curated record. Lineage: Eukaryota; Metazoa; Arthropoda; Insecta; Orthoptera; Acrididae. The transcript has 3 exons.
AUAAUGGUAGUAGCCUGCGAAGAGUAAUUCUUUAGGAUAUUUUUUAAAAUUCUGUUGAGACAACUGUUCCUGUCAACCAAUCACGCUGAUCGAUGUCGAAAGGCAAUUCACUGCUCGUAUAAAAACGGAAAAUUUUCUCGAAAAACUUCUGUCACAUUUGUGUCCGAAGGAUAUCAAGUUGUUGCUAAAAUGGAAGAACAAGAUCAAGUUAAUGUAUGCAGUUUUGGAUGUACUGAUUCCUCAUGCCAUUUAACGACAUACGGGUGAAGUUACAACAUUGCUAUUGACUUGAUUGUUUUAAGAGACGUCUCCUCUACAACACCAACUGAGGUGGUGCAGUGGUAGCACACUGGACCCACAUUCAGGACGAC